This 51-nucleotide transfer RNA is filed under the name Leucauge celebesiana. RNAcentral's name for it is "tRNA-Ser". The record is from RNAcentral. Lineage: Eukaryota; Metazoa; Arthropoda; Arachnida; Araneae; Tetragnathidae.
AAUAGUUUAUGAAAAGCUGCUAACUUUUUAUUAGUUAAUAACUACUUAUUA